This is a non-coding RNA of Dermacentor andersoni, 653 nucleotides long. Lineage: Eukaryota; Metazoa; Arthropoda; Arachnida; Ixodida; Ixodidae. The record is from RefSeq and is a predicted model, not a curated record.
AGAAUUUCACUGAUGGCAUUAACCCUGUUUCUGUAUACACUGCUGUUGUGACAGUUAACAACACAAUAAUAAUUUCCAGUCAUCCGAGGAGGCGCCGUCGGAAACAAGAGACGUUUCGCGCGCAGCGCGAGCUAAGCGCGGGCGCGACCUUGAAUGGAAGCGGCGAAAACGUACACCUGUGGGAGGUGCAAUCGUUCCGCCAGGAGAGAAACGAGCGCCAUGCGAGCGCCGGCGUCUAGGAUGAAACUUGGCGUGCGAAAAAGGCGCGAAGGCGAGCGUUUCGCGCGUUUAUUGUGAGUGCAUAGGCGCCAUUUUCAGUUGUCACUACGGCUGCGCAAGGUGCUCAAGGAUGUUGUUUCUUUCUCCUGGGUUCCUGGCCGGGUUGGCCCCACAGAAAAGAUGCGUUAUGCCACUGUUGAAUUCACCAAAGCUGAAGAAGUGGAAGUUGUUCCUACAAGUUGGAUCUCCGACAACAAGUGUUGGUGGCCAGCUCACGCAAAGCCCGAAAAGCUUUUGUCAAUGGUGAAAAAAAUCACACCCGGUGGAAUCAACGUGGAAACAGUUUGACAUUUCUGUAAAAGGGUUAUUGGUGGGAGCCAUGUUUUGGUAUGGUGAUUUUUUAGAACAAAAUGAGAGUAAAAACUUGACCAUUG